RNAcentral lists this long non-coding RNA (2045 nucleotides) under Oncorhynchus mykiss (rainbow trout). RNAcentral describes it as "lncRNA (ENSOMYG00000067093.1)". The record is from RNAcentral. Lineage: Eukaryota; Metazoa; Chordata; Actinopteri; Salmoniformes; Salmonidae.
GUAGUAGUUUGCUGUUGGUGUAUUCUGGGUAGUUUGCUGCUGUUGGUGUAUUCUGGGUAGUAGUCUGCUGUUGGUGUAUUCUGGGUUUUGUUGCCUACGGUAGAGAUUGGCUGGGUCUAGUUUUCAAAAAGUUUGUGAAGAGAAAAUGAAAUAGGUGAGUAGACCAUCUGUCGUUUUGGUUUUCAGACCCAGUUUAUUCCAGUUGAAACAAAUGUAUUUAAGUUGGGGCUGUGGUUUGGAUGAGGAUAUGGUCUGCUAUACUUCCACAAGCCUAGCUAGGGGUUUAUUAAUCCCUUAAUGACCAGUCUGUUGACUUACACAACAAUAAGGAACUAGACAGAGGAAACUGGGAAGGGUAAAUUACACAUGACUGGAUGUUAGUUAACAAAGACUCUUGAUCAGAGUGCCAUUCAUAUGUUAAAACUACUGAAUGAAAGAAUGUAUCAACUUCUCUCUCUCUGUCUCUCUGUCUCUCUGUCUCUCUGUCUCUCUGUCUCUCUGUCUCUCUGUCUCUCUGUCUCUCUCUUCCUUCCACCCUGUUCUCAAUGGGACUAAUAAGUCAUAGUCACUUUAAAGAGUAUUGUUAAUGUCUGCACUGUCUCUGUUCCAGUUACAUUAGUGUUAUUUUUCUAAGUGACUUAUAGUCAAAUAGAUUGUGGUUUCAGAGUGGGCACUAAGUGAGUGAAUUAUUAAAAGAUUGGUCAAGCCACUGCUGGAAUGGAGAGAGAAAAUAAGGGAUGGUGAGAUUGUGGGGACAGGGGGGAAAGUGGGGGACAGGGGGGACAGGGGGGAAAGAGGGGGACAAGGGGGAAAUAAGGGGACAGGCAGGAAAGCUUCCAACCAGUCUUUUUGUUUGGAAGCUUUACUGUGGUCAUACUGUCUGGGUUCACGUUGUAUCACUGUGGUCAUACUGUCUGGGUUCAUGUUGUAUCACUGGUCAUACUGUCUGGGUUCAUGGUGUAUCACUGGUCAUACUGUCUGGGUUCAUGUUGUAUCACUGGUCAUACUGUCUGGGUUCAUGUUGUAUCACUGGUCAUACUGUCUGGGUUCAUGGUGUAUCACUGGUCAUACUGUCUGGGUUCAUGUUGUAUCACUGGUCAUACUGUCUGGGUUCAUGUUGUAUCACUGUGGUCAUACUGUCUGGGUUCAUGUUGUAUCACUGUGGUCAUACUGUCUGGGUUCAUGUUGUAUCACUGUGGUCAUACUGUCUGGGUUCAUGUUGUAUCACUGGUCAUACUGUCUGGGUUCAUGUUGUAUCACUGUGGUCAUACUGUCUGGGUUCAUGGUGUAUCACUGGUCAUACUGUCUGGGUUCAUGUUGUAUCACUGUGGUCAUACUGUCUGGGUUCAUGUUGUAUCACUGUGGUCAUACUGUCUGGGUUCAUGGUGUAUCACUGUGGUCAUACUGUCUGGGUUCAUGUUGUAUCACUGUGGUCAUACUGUCUGGGUUCAUGGUGUAUCACUGUGGUCAUACUGUCUGGGUUCAUGUUGUAUCACUGGUCAUACUGUCUGGGUUCAUGGUGUAUCACUGUGGUCACACUGUCUGGGUUCAUGUUGUAUCACUGUGGUCACACUGUCUGGGUUCAUGUUGUAUCACUGUGGUCACACUGUCUGGGUUCAUGUUGUAUCACUGUGGUCAUACUGUCUGGGUUCAUGUUGUAUCACUGUGGUCAUACUGUCUGGGUUCAUGGUGUAUCACUGUGGUCAUACUGUCUGGGUUCAUGGUGUAUCACUGUGGUCAUACUGUCUGGGUUCAUGUUGUAUCACUGUGGUCAUACUGUCUGGGUUCAUGGUGUAUCACUGUGGUCAUACUGUCUGGGUUCAUGUUGUAUCACUGGUCAUACUGUCUGGGUUCAUGGUGUAUCACUGUGGUCAUACUGUCUGGGUUCAUGUUGUAUCACUGUGGUCAUACUGUCUGGGUUCAUGGUGUAUCACUGUGGUCAUACUGUCUGGGUUCAUGGUGUAUCACUGUGGUCAUACUGUCUGGGUUCAUGUUGUAUCACUGUGGUCAUACUGUCUGGGUUCAUGGUGUAUCACACUCACUAG